UCCGGAGGGCGCAAUCGUUGUUCGGAAUCACUGGGCGUAAAGCGCGUGCAGGCGGCUUGGCAAGUCGGGUGUGAAAGCCCGGGGCCCAACCCCGGAACGGCAUCCGAAACUGCCUCGCUCGAGUCCCGGAGAGGGUGGCGGAAUUUCCGGUGUAGAGGUGAAAUUCGUAGAUAUCGGAAGGAACACCAGUGGCGAAGGCGGCCACCUGGACGGUGACUGACGCUGAGACGCGAAAGCGUGGGGAGCAAACAGG
RNAcentral lists this ribosomal RNA (253 nucleotides) under uncultured bacterium. RNAcentral describes it as "partial 16S ribosomal RNA". It matches the Rfam family "Bacterial small subunit ribosomal RNA", at positions 524 to 776 of the family's 1533-position model. The record is from RNAcentral.